Molecule: ribosomal RNA, 119 nt
Filed under: Elusimicrobia bacterium RIFOXYA2_FULL_39_19
Lineage: Bacteria; Pseudomonadati; Elusimicrobiota
Source: RNAcentral
CCCGGUAGUAUUUCCGGUGAGGUCACACCUGUUCCCAUUCCGAACACAGAAGUUAAGCUCACCAGGGCCGAUGGUACUUGUUCCCAAUUCGGAAUCGGAAGAGUAGGUCACUGCCGGGU